UGCAACUCGCCUGCAUGAAGUCGGAAUUGCUAGUAAUCGCAGAUCAGCAUGCUGCGGUGAAUACGUUCCCGGGCCUUGUACACACCGCCCGUCACACCAUGGGAGUCGGUAACACCCGAAGUCAGGAGCCUGACCUUUUUAGGAGGGCACUGCCGAAGGUGGGAUUGAUGACUGGGGUGAAGUCGUAACAAGGUAGC
This 197-nucleotide ribosomal RNA is filed under the name uncultured bacterium. RNAcentral's name for it is "partial 16S ribosomal RNA". It matches the Rfam family "Bacterial small subunit ribosomal RNA", at positions 1306 to 1500 of the family's 1533-position model. The record is from RNAcentral.